CAGUAGCCACGGGAAUACGAGGGGAGCUAGCGUUGUUUGGAAUUACUGGGCGUAAAGCGCGCGUAGGCGGCUUUUUAAGUCAGAGGUGAAAGCCCGGGGCUCAACCCCGGAAUUGCCUUUGAAACUGGAAAGCUAGAAUCUUGGAGAGGUCAGUGGAAUUCCGAGUGUAGAGGUGAAAUUCGUAGAUAUUCGGAAGAACACCUGUGGCGAAGGCGACUGACUGGACAAGUACUGACGCUGAGGUGCGAAAGCGUGGGGAGCAAACAGGAUUAGAUACCCGAGUAGUCCCUGUCUCUUAUAC
This 301-nucleotide ribosomal RNA is filed under the name uncultured bacterium. RNAcentral's name for it is "partial 16S ribosomal RNA". It matches the Rfam family "Bacterial small subunit ribosomal RNA", at positions 509 to 807 of the family's 1533-position model. The record is from RNAcentral.